This 1564-nucleotide long non-coding RNA is filed under the name Rattus norvegicus (Norway rat). RNAcentral describes it as "long non-coding RNA NONRATT033293". The record is from RNAcentral. Lineage: Eukaryota; Metazoa; Chordata; Mammalia; Rodentia; Muridae.
CUGCUCAGUGAGUAAACGGACGGGGGAGGGAGCUAACCUAUGAAUGGACAAGUGACUGAGGAUCGCUUCUAAACCUCUGUCAUCCUUUGGGAAGUUAGGUGCCUUGUCUCCUCAAACACCAAGGUCAUGCGACACCCAACAAGCAGGGCCACAUGCAGUGCAGUCGCAAUCGAACAAGGGAUCCAGGUGACAUCUUCCCAGCUGGCACACCCUCAGGAAGCAGAUCUUCCUAAUGACUGUUGAGAGGUCUCUCUCUUGCUUUUUCUCUCUUAGCUAAUUGAGAUUUGAGAAUGACAGAAAACUAAAGAGAUCCUCCCCCAAAUCGCCAUGCCUCCACCUAAUGGCUCACUGAGGAGGCUUUGAAAUUUAGCAAGUUUAGUCCUUCCUUGCCAUAUCAUGCCCAAGGAUAGCACAGGGGACCUCUGGGGACAGUAGCUUCCUGUCGCUUGGAGGCUUACUUCCUUCUCAGUGGAAAGACAAGGAUCACAGACCAAGAUCAGGAGAGCAGAAAGGACUACCAUGGAUGGAUCCCUCCUUGGCCAAAGCUAAGGAGGUAUGGGAUUGGCUGCCACCCCCAUGUGUCCCCUGCCAUUUGAACUAUCUGCACCUGCUCCACUAUGGAGUUCUGCGCUGGGGCAGAGUCAAGUCAAACUCUUUGGGCUCGAAAUCACGACAGCUUAUCAACUCUCCUCAGAGGACCAGGACACGACGAACUGAAGCACAACAGGUCCACAAGGCAGAGACCCGAGAGACUCCACUGAACCCCUACGACAGCCUUCACCACCCUCUCCAAUCCACACCGAGGUGAAUGCAGCCCCGGGGGAGGCUACCGCAGCUGCGCCUCACCCCUCACCCACAGGAACACUGAGGCAACCACACUGUUGCUUUCACCGCUAAAUUUGGGGGUAGCCACAGAUAACUAACACACCUACCUGGCUCCUUUUCCACAGCAGAAGACUCUUUAGACUUUUCCUCAGUCUAUCACAACAUUGACACUCUCUCGGCUGUUCUAAAACACUACAGCAAAGUCCUACAGUUACUGCAAAGUCCAAGGUCAAGGCACCAGUAGAUUCUGUACCUGGUCUGGACCCACACUCUGCUUCAUAGAAGGAACGUUUUACCUGCGUCUUAACAUGGCAAAAGGCACCCAGCAGCUCCCUGGAGCCUCUUACAGAUGAGCAUCAAUCACUUUGUGAGGCAGCCACCUCAAUGACUCCAUAGCCUCCCUCCCAACACCAUGGCCUCAAGGGGAUUAGGAUUUCAAUGUCUGAGUGUGGAGGGGAGGGAGCAAGACAUUCAAGUCCCAGUAGUAUACACAGUUGUUCAUUAAAUAAAUGGGUGAAUGAAAACAGACGGCUGUUUGCACGUCUAUUAUUGGACAGCUAGUACUCCUUUGGCGCUGUCAGUAACGCCAAGCGUCUUCACAGUCGGCACUCGUGAGGCCCAUUUUACAGAAUGUCAAACCUGAUGCGGCGUAAGAACUCCGCCAUUCAAAGCCAGCGACUAGCACAGGCAGAGCUAGGGUUUGAGCUAUGGCCUUUCGAUCUGCCCUUCCCCUCCCGAC